RNAcentral lists this ribosomal RNA (360 nucleotides) under Vibrio sp. a6. RNAcentral describes it as "bacterial SSU rRNA". It matches the Rfam family "Bacterial small subunit ribosomal RNA", at positions 318 to 670 of the family's 1533-position model. The record is from RNAcentral. Lineage: Bacteria; Pseudomonadati; Pseudomonadota; Gammaproteobacteria; Vibrionales; Vibrionaceae.
ACUGAGACACGGUCCAGACUCCUACGGGAGGCAGCAGUGGGGAAUAUUGCACAAUGGGCGCAAGCCUGAUGCAGCCAUGCCGCGUGUGUGAAGAAGGCCUUCGGGUUGUAAAGCACUUUCAGUCGUGAGGAAGGUAGUGUAGUUAAUAGCUGCAUUAUUUGACGUUAGCGACAGAAGAAGCACCGGCUAACUCCGUGCCAGCAGCCGCGGUAAUACGGAGGGUGCGAGCGUUAAUCGGAAUUACUGGGCGUAAAGCGCAUGCAGGUGGUUUGUUAAGUCAGAUGUGAAAGCCCGGGGCUCAACCUCGGAAUUGCAUUUGAAACUGGCAGACUAGAGUACUGUAGAGGGGGGUAGAAUUUC